Molecule: unclassified non-coding RNA, 292 nt
Filed under: Hevea brasiliensis (rubber tree)
Lineage: Eukaryota; Viridiplantae; Streptophyta; Magnoliopsida; Malpighiales; Euphorbiaceae
Source: RNAcentral
AAAAAAUCCAUAGCUACUUUCAUACCCUCCGAUAUGAGUUGCGCCAGGAAAUUCUGGUUUUGGAGGAUUACCAGAGUUUCCAUCCCGUUGAUAUCCAUGGAAAAGAUGAUUGCUUGUCCCUGUAGGCUCAUCUCUACCCAAGAUUGGGGUUGAUGCGAGGGGUGGAUUGAUUGAGUCGCAAAAACCAAUGGAGAUUGAGGAGGAUGAGGGUAGUUGUUCAUGUCGUUUCGAGGUGGGACUGAGGAUUGAGUUAUCGGAGAUAAGCGAAUUAUCUGGCGGUUGGGAGGAAGGU